UGGGGAAUAUUGCACAAUGGGCGAAAGCCUGAUGCGGCAACGCCGCGUGAGGGACGACGGCCUUCGGGUUGUAAACCUCUUUUAGCAAGGAAGAAGCGAAAGUGACGGUACUUGCAGAAAAAGCGCCGGCUAACUACGUGCCAGCAGCCGCGGUAAUACGUAGGGCGCAAGCGUUAUCCGGAAUUAUUGGGCGUAAAGAGCUCGUAGGCGGUUUGUCGCGUCUGCUGUGAAAACCCGAGGCUCAACCUCGGGCCUGCAGUGGGUACGGGCAGACUAGAGUGCGGUAGGGGAGAUUGGAACUCCUGGUGUAGCGGUGGAAUGCGCAGAUAUCAGGAAGAACACCGAUGGCGAAGGCAGAUCUCUGGGCCGUAACUGACGCUGAGGAGCGAAAGGGUGGGGAGCAAACAGGCUUAGAUACCCUGGUAGUCCACCCCGUAAACGUUGGGAACUAGUUGUGGGUCCAUUCCACGGAUUCCGUGACGCAGCUAACGCAUUAAGUUCCCCGCCUGGGGAGUACGGCCGCAAGGCUAAACUUAAAUGAAUUGACGGGGUCAUAGCUGUUUCCU
Molecule: ribosomal RNA, 566 nt
Filed under: uncultured bacterium
Lineage: Bacteria
Description: partial 16S ribosomal RNA
Rfam family: Bacterial small subunit ribosomal RNA
Source: RNAcentral